Pelodiscus sinensis (Chinese soft-shelled turtle) is the source of this 3866-nucleotide RNA transcript. It is a transcript of the gene named F-box and WD repeat domain containing 5, with no coding region annotated. The record is from RefSeq and is a predicted model, not a curated record. Lineage: Eukaryota; Metazoa; Chordata; Testudines; Trionychidae.
AAUGCAAAAAUGCAUUGACUAUUUGGUUAGUCAAUUAGUCAAUAUUUAACAUCCUUAUUAUAUAUUACCCUCCAGCAGAAUCAGCCUCUCACAAGUGUCUGAUCUGUUCUGGAGCUUGGGUCUGUUUAGGUGCUUCUGUCUUGCGCCAAAAGCUCAGGUUGGAACCUGAAAUACAGAUCUUCCCCCUCCUUGGGGAGGGAGGGCCUAUAUAACAAGAUUGUGAAGUGACAAGGUGGAUGAGGUAAUUGCUCUAUUUGGACCAAUACUCUUGGUGAGAGAGACAAACUUUUGAGCCACACAGAGCUGCUCUUCUUAUCUGUCUCACCAACAGAAAUUGCUCAAGAUGUUACCUUACCUAUUUUGUAUUAGGUUAGGGUUGGCUAUAACUACAUUACAUACAAGUUUGUAAAAUAUCCUCACCACCCAGGAUAGCCCAUGCAGAGUAUAGCUGCCUCCAACGAAUCUAUUUUGUUCUUUAGCUGAAGUACUAGAAGUUGCGCUUUCAUGCUAAAAAGUCUCAGGAUCAAAUGCUGUUGACAGCCUGUGUUUGGAUCAUCAUAAAUAAAGUUAGGCCUGUAAGUGGACAUUUGCAGGAUUGGGGCCUGUGUUUGUGUUGGCUGAUCUUUCAUGUGAAUAAUUUCAUAGUAAAUGUAAGUGUCUGUCUCUGGAGCUUUAAAGAAUUGCUAUAUUAAAAAAUAAAAGCAGAAAAUUUGUUAAAAAGCACAUUCUGUUUGGGGGAAAAUAGAAGAAAAUCAUUAAGGAUUGUGUUACACCAAUGUUCUCUCUAAUCUUUUCCAUCCGUGUGGAAUAUUUUUUGUACUGAGGCAUGUGUGACUGUUCACUACCAGUAGAAACAAAACCUAGCUGUGGGCGUUCUGCUAAUCAACUGGGUGACAUUUGAGUUCUGAAAAUUUGCAAAAGUGUACAGCUUUCAGGGAAUACUGCAGUACACUACCAAAUGUUAUAAUAUAAGCCCUGCAAAUCUGUAGAUAACCACUUUUUAUCUACAUCUGCAAAUGUCCAUGCAUAUAGCCGUAGCUCAUUUUUUUGCAAAUAAGAUGUGGAUACAAAUUCUGUGUCUGCACAGGGCUUUAGUUAUCAUACCAACUUUCCCCCUUUGUUUGUUUUCAGAUCCCUUUGGUGACAAUGACAGUAUGGAUGUUGUGGGUAGUCCCCUUCUCCCAGACAGCAUCCUCUAUGAGAUUUUCUUGUACCUGGACCACAUAGAUGUGCUUUCGGUGGGGUUGGUGUGUCAGCAAUGGCAUGCAGUGGCACGGGAUGAAUUCCUGUGGAAGGAACUGUUCUAUAGAUACUACAGGGUUUCUCGGGAAGUGCCACGACACCCAGCUGCCGUUUCCUGGUAUGAGGAGUUCCAAAGGCUCUAUGACACCAUCCCAUGUGUUGAAGUGCAGACCCUGAGAGAGCACAAUGAUCAGGUCUUACAUCUUAGCUUCUCCCAUUCAGGCUACUUGUUUGCAUCCUGCUCCAAGGACUGCACAGUUAAGAUUUGGAACAACGAGCUGGCCAUUUCUCUGCUCCACAGUUCCAACAUGAGGCUGUACAACUGGAGCUACACCCAGUUUUCCCAGUUCAACUCAGAUGACUCCCUCCUUCUGGUGUCAGGGGUCUUUGUGGGGCCUCGCAACUCUUCGUCAGGAGAAAUCGCUGUUAUUAGCCUGGAAAACUCUGCUUUCCUCUCCAGAGUGAGGAAUAAACCCUAUGAUGUGUUUGGCUGCUGGCUGAAUGAAACCAACUUAAUUUCCGGCAACCUGCACCGAAUUGGGCACAUCACUUCCUGCUCAGUGCUGUGGCUAAAUAAUGCUUUCCAGGGCAUAGAGUCUGAGAAUGUGAAUGUAGUCAAGAGACUGUUCAAAAUCCAGAACCUGAAUGCCAGCAGCAUCCGGACAGUGAUGGUGGCAGACUGCAGCCGUUACGAUGCUCCAGACCUGCUCCUGGACUAUAAGGAACAACUGGCUACCACCACCUCUCCCUACCAGCACUUUGAUCUUGGCAGUGAGAGUGAAGAAGAAGAGGAGAAGCCCAAGCAGAGACUGAUGCGAGAACCGGGGGCGCAAGCCUUCCUGGAUGGUGGGAGUGGAACAUCAGAGGAUGGGCUGCAGCAGUUCCUGGAUGACCUCCUUGAAGGCCGCAUGAAGCCUGUCAUGAGUGAGAGAGAACUGGAGACGAAGGUCGCAGAGCUGCUUGCUAGGAGCAGGACUAAGCCACCUGAGUUAACUCAGCUCCCCACAGAGGCCAGCAACAAGAAAUAUUUAAUCUUCACCACAGGAUGCCUCACCUACUCUCCACACCAGAUAGGAAUUAAGCAGAUCUUGCCUCACCAGAUGACAACUGCUGGGCCGGUGCUUGGGGAGGAGAGACGUUCAGAUGAGUUCUUCGAUUCACUGGAUCAUGUCAUUGACAUCCAUGGUCACAUUAUUGGGAUGGGUCUCUCUCCUGACCACAGAUAUCUUUAUGUCAACAGCCGGUCCUGGCCACGGGACUGUGUGAUCUCUGAUCCCAUGCAGCCACCACCCAUCGCAGAGGAGAUUGACCUGCAUGUGUUUGAUCUGAAGACAAUGAAGGAGGUGAAGCGAGCCCUCCGUGCACACCGAGCCUACACCCCCAACGAUGAAUGUUUCUUCAUCUUUCUUGAUGUCAGCAGGGACUUCGUAGCCAGGAACUCUGGGCGGUGGCAUCUGAGGAGAAGAUAGUUGAGGCUUCUGAUGAUUUAGGAUUGUGGAAAGAAGAGCAGGUUGAUGGGACAAUUAACUCUGAACCCUGAAAAUGACAUUGUGGGGCAGAGGAUCGUCAUGGCUACAUUUGGGACCGGCACUACAACAUCUGUCUGGCCAAGCUACAACAUGAUGAUGUGGUCAACUCUGUGGCAUUCAGCCCAGUUGAGCAGGAACUGCUCCUGACAGCCAGCGAUGAUGCUAGCAUCAAAGUGUGGCGCUCCCCCCGCACUGUGCGCAUCUGCCAGGCCAGGAAACCUAAGCCCAGGAGGCUGCUCUUCUCUUGGCUCAUGAAUCAGAAGAGCUGAGCCACAGCACCUGAUAAUGCUGAUGCCUCACUGUAGCCACAACCUUUAUUGAGCUUUGGACAGUGGGAGUGUUGAUGGAGAACCGUGGGUGCAAGGCUCUGGCAGGGUUCUACCCAAAGAGAGUAUCUUGAACUCCCAUCAAUGGCUCACAUCUGCCAAAACGGUUACAGUCAAACUCGCCCCAGCAUCACUGCACCUGUGAUGAACUGGGUUCCAUUUGUGUUGUAGCUGUUGCGGAUCACAGCAGGCAAAUUUCACCUGCCUACCCAUCAUGCAGCCAAGCUUUGGUCACUGAGCAGCAGAGACUGGGGCAGCUGGUUUUUCUUCAUGAGCUUGGAGAUCUAGCCUCACUCAGAGCUGCUGACUUUCGAGUGCUUGGCCAAAGGGAAACGUUGCAGCACUGCUCUGCCUUGUGGUGACAGGACUGUUUUCAGUAGUAGUUUUGUUGUCUGUUUGUCCCAAACCUCUGCAGGAGGCAUGGUCAGUGUAACUGCUAUCCUCCAACUGUAUCCUCCAGUCAUGGCUGAGCAGAUUGGGGAGUGAGGGGACUUUCAGAGAGGCUUACACACUUUCUAAUGUGCAAAACAUGUAGCUGGUGCUGGCUUGGCAGCACUCAGUGCUGAGGGCAGCUAGUACCUUUCCACCUUGGGCCUACCAGAGCCCUUUGCACUGCAGCCAACUCAAAGCAAGCCUCUGUCACUGCUCUCCAUUAGCUGUGCCUGAGCCACUGGCUUCCACGCAAGGGUCCGUGGAGAGCUGGGGAAUCACAGAAUACAAGUCCCACCUCCUUGAUAAGUUGCUCAAUAAUAUUAAGAUGCUAAAGCUG